GGGGGAAUAGCUCAAAGGUAGAGUGCAUGCCUAGCAUGCACGAGGUCCUGGGUUCAAUUCCUACUAUCUCCA
This 72-nucleotide transfer RNA is filed under the name Camelus ferus (Wild Bactrian camel). It matches the Rfam family "tRNA". From Rfam's summary of the family: Transfer RNA (tRNA) molecules are approximately 80 nucleotides in length. Their secondary structure includes four short double-helical elements and three loops (D, anti-codon, and T loops). Further hydrogen bonds mediate the characteristic L-shaped molecular structure. tRNAs have two regions of fundamental functional importance: the anti-codon, which is responsible for specific mRNA codon recognition, and the 3' end, to which the tRNAs corresponding amino acid is attached (by aminoacyl-tRNA synthetases). tRNAs cope with the degeneracy of the genetic code in two manners: having more than one tRNA (with a specific anti-codon) for a particular amino acid; and 'wobble' base-pairing, i.e. permitting non-standard base-pairing at the 3rd anti-codon position. Lineage: Eukaryota; Metazoa; Chordata; Mammalia; Artiodactyla; Camelidae. The record is from Rfam by way of RNAcentral.